UAUGUGAUCGUCUCUCGCAUAUCAAUAAGCGGAGGAAAAGAAACUAACAAGGAUUCCCCUAGUAACGGCGAGUGAAGCGGGAAGAGCUCAAAUUUGAAAUCCUUAAAGGGUUUCCCUUUACGAAUUGUAGUUUAAAGAAGUGUUUUCUGUUGAGGUUUUGGUAAAAGUUCUUUGGAAUAGGACAUCAUAGAGGGUGAGAAUCCCGUAUUUGACCUUUACUUUCAACUUUGUGAUACACUUUCAAAGAGUCGGAUUGUUUGGGAAUGCAGUCCAAAAUGGGUGGUAAAUUUCAUCUAAAGCUAAAUAUUGGCGAGAGACCGAUAGCGAACAAGUACCGUGAGGGAAAGAUGAAAAGAACUUUGAAAAGAGAGUUAAACAGUACGUGAAAUUGUCAAAAGGGAAGCGUUUGACACCAGUGUUGUUUUUCUGAAAAUCAAUUAAAGAACUGUUUAUGCUAAGUUGUUUAGACUUUAUCAGCUAACUGUUUAGUUUUGAGCUUUUCUUUAAUGCACUUUUCAGUUAACAAGUCAACAUCAAUUUCUUUUGCUGUAAAAAAGCUUGAGGAAGGUGGCUUGAGAUUCGUCUUAAGUGUUUAUAGCCUCUUGCCUAUGCAGUCGGAGAGAUUGAGGUCUGCAGCGUAGAUCCUUCGGGGCUAAAUGCAUUUGUGCUAAGUUAUAGCAUUUUAUAGACAACUUGUUGACUAUGAUUUGUCUUGUAGCUUACUCGCUUAUGUUAUUUUACCUACGCUUAGGAUGUUGAAGACUCUACAGAGAU
Molecule: ribosomal RNA, 774 nt
Filed under: uncultured Neocallimastigales
Lineage: Eukaryota; Fungi; Neocallimastigomycota; Neocallimastigomycetes; Neocallimastigales
Description: partial large subunit ribosomal RNA
Rfam family: Eukaryotic large subunit ribosomal RNA
Source: RNAcentral